CGCAAUUGCCGGCAGCUACACAUGCAGUCGAGCGGUAGCACAGAGAGCUUGCUCUCGGGUGACGAGCGGCGGACGGGUGAGUAAUGUCUGGGAAACUGCCUGAUGGAGGGGGAUAACUACUGGAAACGGUAGCUAAUACCGCAUAACGUCGCAAGACCAAAGUGGGGGACCUUCGGGCCUCAUGCCAUCAGAUGUGCCCAGAUGGGAUUAGCUAGUAGGUGGGGUAACGGCUCACCUAGGCGACGAUCCCUAGCUGGUCUGAGAGGAUGACCAGCCACACUGGAACUGAGACACGGUCCAGACUCCUACGGGAGGCAGCAGUGGGGAAUAUUGCACAAUGGGCGCAAGCCUGAUGCAGCCAUGCCGCGUGUGUGAAGAAGGCCUUCGGGUUGUAAAGCACUUUCAGCGGGGAGGAAGGCGAUAAGGUUAAUAACCUUGUCGAUUGACGUUACCCGCAGAAGAAGCACCGGCUAACUCCGUGCCAGCAGCCGCGGUAAUACGGAGGGUGCAAGCGUUAAUCGGAAUUACUGGGCGUAAAGCGCACGCAGGCGGUCUGUCAAGUCGGAUGUGAAAUCCCCGGGCUCAACCUGGGAACUGCAUUCGAAACUGGCAGGCUAGAGUCUUGUAGAGGGGGGUAGAAUUCCAGGUGUAGCGGUGAAAUGCGUAGAGAUCUGGAGGAAUACCGGUGGCGAAGGCGGCCCCCUGGACAAAGACUGACGCUCAGGUGCGAAAGCGUGGGGAGCAAACAGGAUUAGAUACCCUGGUAGUCCACGCCGUAAACGAUGUCGAUUUGGAGGUUGUGCCCUUGAGGCGUGGCUUCCGGAGCUAACGCGUUAAAUCGACCGCCUGGGGAGUACGGCCGCAAGGUUAAAACUCAAAUGAAUUGACGGGGGCCCGCACAAGCGGUGGAGCAUGUGGUUUAAUUCGAUGCAACGCGAAGAACCUUACCUGGUCUUGACAUCCACAGAACUUUCCAGAGAUGGAUUGGUGCCUUCGGGAACUGUGAGACAGGUGCUGCAUGGCUGUCGUCAGCUCGUGUUGUGAAAUGUUGGGUUAAGUCCCGCAACGAGCGCAACCCUUAUCCUUUGUUGCCAGCGGUCAGGCCGGGAACUCAAAGGAGACUGCCAGUGAUAAACUGGAGGAAGGUGGGGAUGACGUCAAGUCAUCAUGGCCCUUACGACCAGGGCUACACACGUGCUACAAUGGCAUAUACAAAGAGAAGCGACCUCGCGAGAGCAAGCGGACCUCAUAAAGUAUGUCGUAGUCCGGAUUGGAGUCUGCAACUCGACUCCAUGAAGUCGGAAUCGCUAGUAAUCGUAGAUCAGAAUGCUACGGUGAAUACGUUCCCGGGCCUUGUACACACCGCCCGUCACACCAUGGGAGUGGGUUGCAAAAGAAGUAGGUAGCUUAACCUUCGGGAGGGCGCUACCACUUUGAAUCGGGG
RNAcentral lists this ribosomal RNA (1444 nucleotides) under Klebsiella pneumoniae. RNAcentral's name for it is "bacterial SSU rRNA". It matches the Rfam family "Bacterial small subunit ribosomal RNA". The record is from RNAcentral. Lineage: Bacteria; Pseudomonadati; Pseudomonadota; Gammaproteobacteria; Enterobacterales; Enterobacteriaceae.